Molecule: non-coding RNA, 19 nt
Filed under: Arabidopsis thaliana (thale cress)
Lineage: Eukaryota; Viridiplantae; Streptophyta; Magnoliopsida; Brassicales; Brassicaceae
Source: RNAcentral
GCUCAGGAGGGAUAGCGCC